AUAAAUUAGUAUGGAAUAUGUUGUUAUGUUUAUUUAUGGUAUUUAUUUUUAAAUAUCAUAUCUAAUGAUAAUAUUUGGAAUAUCUCCUUGAGAUUUUCAUUACUUCUAAACUAUCGAGCUCACUAUCUCUUUUUUAUUUUCAAAUUCUAACAUUUAGUCGCGGAUGUGGGUGUUAAUUAGGAGUGAGACUAGAGAUGGACUUGGCGUACCC
RNAcentral lists this long non-coding RNA (211 nucleotides) under Elaeis guineensis (African oil palm). Its description in RNAcentral is "long non-coding RNA (EGUI_LNC065748)". The record is from RNAcentral. Lineage: Eukaryota; Viridiplantae; Streptophyta; Magnoliopsida; Arecales; Arecaceae.